AUUUUUACUUGGUUUGAAAAAAAAUAAAUGUCAAAUUGAUGUGAACAAUAGAUGCACCCAGAUUUUAUAUGAUGUUUGCUAUUCUGCUCCUACUGCUAAUAAUUCUGAUAAUGAAGCGUGUGGGUAAUAAUUCAGUGUUGCACUUAAAGUAUUUUUACGUCAAUCAUCAUGUAGAUCAACUAUGGCAUCGAGUCAAUCAUCAUCAUGUAUAGUUAAUGAUCUUGAAAUGGAGUUACUGAGUUGUUGGUGUGGUUUGAAAGCGCCAUUAAAGAUCUCCCACACUCACAAAAAUCCUGGAAGGAAAUUUUAUGCUUGUCCGAAUUAUGGAACGGAAGAAACAAGAUGUCAAUUCUUCAUUUGGGCAGAUAUACUUCAAUCAGUAGUCGGCUUGAAAAAUAUGACGAGAGAGAAUGAAAUUCGGAAGAUGGAGGAUGCUUUAUUGUUGCGUGAGUAUGAAGCUCAACAA
Molecule: long non-coding RNA, 466 nt
Organism: Juglans microcarpa x Juglans regia
Lineage: Eukaryota; Viridiplantae; Streptophyta; Magnoliopsida; Fagales; Juglandaceae
Exons: 2
Source: RefSeq, a predicted model, not a curated record